Molecule: long non-coding RNA, 1173 nt
Organism: Oncorhynchus tshawytscha (Chinook salmon)
Lineage: Eukaryota; Metazoa; Chordata; Actinopteri; Salmoniformes; Salmonidae
Source: Ensembl
UGAUCAUCCAAGCCAAUCCAAUCAGUCCAUCACUUCCCACCCAAAAACAGACCCAAAAACAGACCUUGUUUCAGUGGUCACCGAAACAAGAACAAUGUACACAGGUAACCAAGAAAAAGCGCUGUGAGAAGUCCUCUAAUUCAAAUAAAGUGACUUGAUUCCACCAAACAGAUUGACAAUACUGAGAACAAACACUAAGGUAAAACGCUCCCUAAAAUGCUCUUUCACUUACUUUGAAUUGUGUAGUUUCUAGCUGUUUUUAUACUGGAGGCUAGCUGUUAUGUGUGAUAAUGUUGAUUACAGAAAUAUAUAUACAUAUCAGUGAUACAUCAUUUGAAUGUAUGAUUAGUUUUGUUUGGGGUGAUGAAAAAUGUAUAAUUUCAAUAAUUUCAUUAUAUGUGAUAUAUCUUUUCUAAAUGAGAUGUGUAUUUUAGCCAAAUCUUCCCAUUUUGUUUCGAUGACAGAUGCCAGGGAAACUGAAGCUAGUUGCUCUCCUCUUGCUCAUUCAAGCAUGUGUGUCCAUAGUGGCCCAGACGCCAGCCCCAGAGGACUCUGUCUCUGAGGGGGUUCUGCAGAGGGCAUCAGAGACAUACAGGGCAGCCAAAGUUAAAGCCCAGAGAAUAAGAGAGGCGGUGCAGGCCUUUGCUGGUGCGUACUACGAGGACCACAUCAAACCAGUGGCUGAUCCCUACAUCUACAUGGACUGGGCCUCAGCCUCCACCAGUUCCUUCUGGGACAGAGUCAAGGAGAAGAUCGACCAGUACAGACCCAUCUAAUGGCAACUGAAUCUUAGGCAGACGAACACCCACCCAGCUCACUGCCAGCACAUAUACUCAUGCAAGGUGAUACUAGGACUGAUUCUAUGUUCAUAUGCACUAGGGAUUACAACUAGGACAUUUGUGUUACAAUGUUUCAGAAGAGCGCUUCAACACGGUUGUAUAAUUUGGCCGGUGAACGAGGACACCCGUUUACUAGUGUUUCAUCAACCACAGCACAAGGGUUGUGAUAGUUUUAAAACUGCCAUAGAGUGUAUUAGUAAUCAAACCAUUAUGGCUCACAUAUUGCAUCUAAGUGAGUCAAUUAACUAUUGUGAACCACCAAAUGAAUGAACACUAAAUAAAAUAAAUUGUACAAUUAUAGUGUUGUGCCUUUUCAUAAACUUUCCCUUGACAC